RNAcentral lists this unclassified non-coding RNA (553 nucleotides) under Hevea brasiliensis (rubber tree). The record is from RNAcentral. Lineage: Eukaryota; Viridiplantae; Streptophyta; Magnoliopsida; Malpighiales; Euphorbiaceae.
GUGAGCAUAAACUCCAUCAUAGACUUUCAGAGUUAGUACCAAAUAAUAGACGCCUCUUGGACUUGGAUGAAAAACAUAUUCACCAAUCUCCUUGUCAGAAAGGAACUCCAUUGCCUCGUCCCCAGUGAUAUUUUUAAAGCGUGGAUGAUUAAUAGUCCUCUGCUUGGACUGUUUCUUUGCAAGGUCAUUCUUGCAGGCUUCACCUUGCUGUCUUGACAAUUUGUUCUUGCCUUCAUGAUAGUAAGGAUCAAUCUCACGAAAAUUUUGAUAUCUGCAACUCUUCAGCUCACUUUCUUUACAAGUUAGAAGCACUUGGAAUCUACUCUUUUCAAGUUGUUUAAUCUUGCAAGUAACGACAUCACCUUCAUGUAACUUGUCUGUCAAAGAAAAAUCAUCAGUCCCAUCCAAAAAAUCAUCCUUCAUUAUUACUCCAGUCAAUCCAAAGUCAAGAGCACAAAAUGCUCGUUGUGAUAGAACUCGGCGAACAGUAACCUGAAUAAUUCUUCCUUCAGCGAAUGCAUCCUCAUUUUUGCCUGAUAUCAAAAAGAAUAGC